CGGAGUGGCGGACGGGUGAGUAAUGUCUGGGAAACUGCCUGGUGGAGGGGGAUAACUACUGGAAACGGUAGCUAAUACCGCAUAACGUCGCAAGACCAAAGAGGGGGACCGUUCGGGCCUCUUGCCAUCGGAUGUGCCCAGAUGGGAUUAGCUAGUAGGUGGGGUAACGGCUCACCUAGGCGACGAUCCCUAGCUGGUCUGAGAGGAUGACCAGCCACACUGGAACUGAGACACGGUCCAG
RNAcentral lists this ribosomal RNA (241 nucleotides) under uncultured bacterium. RNAcentral describes it as "partial 16S ribosomal RNA". It matches the Rfam family "Bacterial small subunit ribosomal RNA", at positions 91 to 334 of the family's 1533-position model. The record is from RNAcentral.